RNAcentral lists this ribosomal RNA (270 nucleotides) under uncultured archaeon. RNAcentral describes it as "partial 16S ribosomal RNA". It matches the Rfam family "Archaeal small subunit ribosomal RNA", at positions 477 to 747 of the family's 1478-position model. The record is from RNAcentral.
CUGCAGCUCAAGUGGUGAUCAUUAUUAUUGGGCCUAAAACGUCCGUAGCCGGUUUAGUAAAUGCCUGGGUAAAUCGUGUAGCUUAACUAUACGACUUCCGGGUAGACUGCUAAACUUGAGACCGGGAGAGGCUAGAGGUACUCCUGGGGUAGAGGUGAAAUUCUGUAAUCCUAGGGGGACCACCAGUGGCGAAGGCGUCUAGCUAGAACGGGUCUGACGGUGAGGGACGAAGCCCUGGGGCACAAACCGGAUUAGAGACCCGAGUAGUCC